GAUGAAGAACGUAGCGAAAUGCGAUAAGUAAUGUGAAUUGCAGAAUUCAGUGAAUCAUCGAAUCUUUGAACGCACAUUGGGCCCCCUGGUAUUCCGGGGGCAUGCCUGUCCGAGCGUCAUUACAACCCUCAAGCUCAGCUUGGUGUUGGGCCCCGCCGCCCCGGCGGGCCCUAAAGUCAGUGGCGGUGCCGUCCGGCUCCGAGCGUAGUAAUUCUUCUCGCUCUGGAGGUCCGGUCGUGUGCUCGCCAGCAACCCCCAAUUUUUUUCAGGUUGACCUCGGAUCAGGUAGGGAUACCCGCUGAACUUAAGCAUAUCAAUAAGCGGAGGA
RNAcentral lists this unclassified non-coding RNA (328 nucleotides) under soil metagenome. Its description in RNAcentral is "partial contains 5.8S ribosomal RNA, internal transcribed spacer 2, and large subunit ribosomal RNA". The stretch from base 1 to 119 matches the Rfam family "5.8S ribosomal RNA", at positions 35 to 154 of the family's 154-position model. The record is from RNAcentral.